Molecule: ribosomal RNA, 465 nt
Filed under: Vreelandella stevensii
Lineage: Bacteria; Pseudomonadati; Pseudomonadota; Gammaproteobacteria; Oceanospirillales; Halomonadaceae
Description: partial 16S ribosomal RNA
Rfam family: Bacterial small subunit ribosomal RNA
Source: RNAcentral
CCUACGGGGGGCAGCAGUGGGGAAUAUUGGACAAUGGGCGAAAGCCUGAUCCAGCCAUGCCGCGUGUGUGAAGAAGGCCUUCGGGUUGUAAAGCACUUUCAGUGGGGAAGAAAGCCUUGGGGCUAAUACCCUCGAGGAAGGACAUCACCCACAGAAGAAGCACCGGCUAACUCCGUGCCAGCAGCCGCGGUAAUACGGAGGGUGCGAGCGUUAAUCGGAAUUACUGGGCGUAAAGCGCGCGUAGGCGGUCUGAUAAGCCGGUUGUGAAAGCCCCGGGCUCAACCUGGGAACGGCAUCCGGAACUGUCAGGCUAGAGUGCAGGAGAGGAAGGCAGAAUUCCCGGUGUAGCGGUGAAAUGCGUAGAGAUCGGGAGGAAUACCAGUGGCGAAGGCGGCCUUCUGGACUGACACUGACGCUGAGGUGCGAAAGCGUGGGUAGCAAACAGGAUUAGAUACCCCGGUAGUC